UCAUUAGGGGAUUAUUUUGUAUCUUUCUAACGAAUACUAGAAAAGUAGAUGCCUCGGAGGGACAAGCAGAAAAAAAGCCUACAUAUUUUUUUCCGCUACGAACCAAGGUUGAUGCUGCUGAUUUUUGAAAAUUAAUUUGAUUAUUGCUAUUAAUGUUUGUUGAUUUUGAUCGAAUGCUUACAAUAACAUUUAGUUUAAUGUGAAUAAAAGCAGCAUACCGAUUGAAAUAUAUUGGCACACUUAGUCAGAAGAUUUAACAUCAAGCUAUAUCUCAUCUCACAUUGCUAAAUACUUAUCUAUAAAUCUUUAUCAGUAAAGAAUAGGGUUGAAUAUUCUAUAUUUUAUUGUUGCAGAUCAAAUCACAUGAUACAAAUAGUGUCACGCCCCGGGACCGGCGGAGGCCCUCCCGGUAGCGUGCCCAGACCCGCCAUAUGUCUACACAUAUAAGGCGUCUACAAGAAAAGCGGAAGUAAAAGCAAGAGAUGGAACAAAUAAGAGAAGUGAAACAACAAGCAACUAAUGAUAUCAGAGCGAGUAAAGUUCUAACAUCUACACCAAGGUAAAGAAGUAAAGCUAGACAAUAAAAGAAUUCAUGAGUAGUACAAUAUCUGUCUCAAAAGUACAAAAAUGGUGGUCUCUAGUACACUAGUAUAACUCUCAACCUCUCGCAAAAAGAAAUACAUCGAGAGGUAGACCACCUAACAACUCGUCCCUCGCUGAAGAGCUAGCUGGAAGCAAUGCCCUUCCCUCGGUCCCUGGCCUCACCCGGCGUGGAAGGCUCUGAAAGAAAUCAUAAAACAGAGGGCGUGAGAACUAUAAUUUAUAGUUCCCAGUGGGCAAUUACUGACCUCAGCUCAUCGCACCACUAGGCCCCAAAAGAAAAGGAGUAGUAUAAUAAACAACAAUAAGGAUAACAGUAACAACGGUAAGAAAGCAUGAUGCCAAGGUGAUGUACAUCUACGCUAUCAUAAGAUAAUAUGUCCAAUGCAUACUAAUAUGUCUCAACAUAAUAAACAAGUAAACCUCACGAUGCAAUAUGUCAAUGCAUAAGGGUAAACACUAUCCAAACGACCGAGUAUACUACUAUGCAAUAAUGAAACCGACAAGAAUACUAAUGUACCAAUGCUAUAUCAUGAGCAUGUCCAAGUAAUCCAACUACUAAUCCUAUCUAGUAGUGAUAGUCCAUAUACAACACCGUGUCGAUUUCCAUUUCCAAUUUAAGGACCUACUCAAGGUAGUCCAGCUUGC
Molecule: long non-coding RNA, 1248 nt
Filed under: Ananas comosus (pineapple)
Lineage: Eukaryota; Viridiplantae; Streptophyta; Magnoliopsida; Poales; Bromeliaceae
Description: long non-coding RNA (ACOM_LNC023240)
Source: RNAcentral